This is a small nucleolar RNA of Lycium barbarum (goji berry), 86 nucleotides long. RefSeq annotates it as small nucleolar RNA snoR114. Lineage: Eukaryota; Viridiplantae; Streptophyta; Magnoliopsida; Solanales; Solanaceae. The record is from RefSeq and is a predicted model, not a curated record. The transcript has a single exon.
GAGCUGUGAUGAUUAUUGCACAAAUUGUGAAGUUGGGUCUUCACAACCGUCUGAUCUAAAUGACGAAAUUCAGUGCAUCUGAGCUC